GCCUACGGCCAUACCACCCUGAAAGCGCCCGAUCUCGUCUGAUCACGGAAGCUAAGCAGGGACGGGCUUGGUUAGUACCUGGAUGGGAGACCGCCUGGGAAUACCAGGUGUUGUAGGCU
This 119-nucleotide ribosomal RNA is filed under the name Xenopus tropicalis (tropical clawed frog). Lineage: Eukaryota; Metazoa; Chordata; Amphibia; Anura; Pipidae. The record is from RNAcentral.